Molecule: ribosomal RNA, 479 nt
Filed under: uncultured bacterium
Lineage: Bacteria
Description: bacterial SSU rRNA
Rfam family: Bacterial small subunit ribosomal RNA
Source: RNAcentral
GACGAACGCUGGCGGCGUGCUUAACACAUGCAAGUCGAGCGGUAAGGCCCUUUCGGGGGUACACGAGCGGCGAACGGGUGAGUAACACGUGGGUGACCUGCCCUCAGCUCUGGGAUAAGCCUGGGAAACUGGGUCUAAUACUGGAUAUGACUCCACGGUGCAUGUCGUGGGGUGGAAAGCCUUGUGCGGCUGAGGAUGGGCCCGCGGCCUAUCAGCUUGUUGGUGGGGNGAUGGCCUACCAAGGCGACGACGGGUAGCCGGCCUGAGAGGGCGACCGGCCACACUGGGACUGAGACACGGCCCAGACUCCUACGGGAGGCAGCAGUGGGGAAUAUUGGACAAUGGGGAAACCCUGAUCCAGCCAUGCCGCGUGAGUGAUGAAGGCCCGUAGGGUUGUAAAGCUCGUUUUCGGCGGGACGAUAAUGACGGUACCCGCAGAAGAAGCCCGGCUAACUUCGUGCCAGCAGCAGCCGCCGUAA